GCCGAAGUGGCGGAAUUGGCAGACGCACUUGACUCAAAAUCAAGCGUAGUUACCUACGUGCCGGUUCGAGUCCGGCCUUCGGCACCA
RNAcentral lists this transfer RNA (87 nucleotides) under Selenomonas sputigena. RNAcentral's name for it is "tRNA-Leu". It matches the Rfam family "tRNA". From Rfam's summary of the family: Transfer RNA (tRNA) molecules are approximately 80 nucleotides in length. Their secondary structure includes four short double-helical elements and three loops (D, anti-codon, and T loops). Further hydrogen bonds mediate the characteristic L-shaped molecular structure. tRNAs have two regions of fundamental functional importance: the anti-codon, which is responsible for specific mRNA codon recognition, and the 3' end, to which the tRNAs corresponding amino acid is attached (by aminoacyl-tRNA synthetases). tRNAs cope with the degeneracy of the genetic code in two manners: having more than one tRNA (with a specific anti-codon) for a particular amino acid; and 'wobble' base-pairing, i.e. permitting non-standard base-pairing at the 3rd anti-codon position. RNAcentral also lists the same sequence under 2 other names. Lineage: Bacteria; Bacillati; Bacillota; Negativicutes; Selenomonadales; Selenomonadaceae. The record is from RNAcentral.